RNAcentral lists this small RNA (827 nucleotides) under Pongo abelii (Sumatran orangutan). RNAcentral's name for it is "processed transcript". The record is from RNAcentral. Lineage: Eukaryota; Metazoa; Chordata; Mammalia; Primates; Hominidae.
GAUAGAUGGAAGCUUCCGUUAUCGCCAACUUAAUCACCAACAGCGGAGCGGUAGGAGCCCCCGCUAUCCUCAGAUGGGUGCUGCUGAGACAUUGGGUGUUUCUGGAGGACUUGAGAGUUGGCAGAGCAAGCCCUGUAUGCUUUCUUUCCCUGGCUCACUAGCACAGGCUAAUGGUGUUGUCGUCAUGUUCUAAGAACAUGAGCUGCCUGUGGACAUGGAAACCAUCAACCUGGACAGAGAUGCAGAGGAUGUUGAUUUGAAUCACUAUCGCAUAGGAAAGAUUGAAGGAUUUGAGGUACUGAAGAAAGUGAAGACUCUCUGCCUCCGCCAAAAUUUAAUUAAAUGCAUUGAGAAUCUGGAGGAGCUACAGAGUCUUCGAGAGCUGGAUCUUUACGACAACCAGAUCAAGAAGAUUGAGAAUCUGGAGGCGCUAACAGAGCUGGAGAUUCUAGAUAUUUCUUUUAAUCUGCUGAGAAACAUCGAAGGGGUUGACAAGUUGACACAACUGAAAAAACUCUUCUUGGUCAACAAUAAAAUCAGUAAAAUUGAGAACUUAAGCAACUUACAUCAACUACAGAUGCUAGAGCUGGGAUCUAACCGCAUCCGGGCAAUCGAAAAUAUCGACACCUUAACCAACCUGGAGAGUUUGUUUUUGGGGAAAAACAAAAUUACUAAACUUCAGAACCUGGAUGCGCUCACCAACCUGACAGUCCUCAGUAUGCAGAGCAACCGGCUGACCAAGAUCGAGGGUCUGCAGAACCUGGUGAACCUGCGGGAGCUGUACCUUAGCCACAAUGGCAUCGAGGUCAUCGAGGGCCUGGAGAACA